AUGAAUCUGUUAGCCUGGAACUGUCGAGGACUGGGGUUGGACUCAACAGUUGGCGAAUUACGAGACCUGAUACGGUCCUACAACCCAGAGGUGGUGUUUCUUUGUGAGACUAAAAAGUCCGCUAGGGCUAUGGAAAAGUUGAAGUGGAGCUUGGGUUUUCAGAGUGGUGUUGCGGUGGACUGCAAGGGAAGGAGUGGAGGACUUGCGCUUUGGUGGAGAGAGCAUAUUCAUGUUAAGGUUCGGCCUUGGUGCCAAUAUUUUAUGGAUGCGGAGUUGGUAUGUGAGGGUAAGACCUUCAGAAUCACUGGAUUCUAUGGGGAACCUCGUACAGAAUUGCGGAAAAAAUCCUGGGAUGCUAUCCGCUAUCUUCGGGCGCAAGAUGAUCUCUCGUGGCUGUGUGUUGGUGAUUUUAAUGAGGCUUUAUUCUAUACUGACCAAAUUGGGGGUAACCGAUGA
This 456-nucleotide ribosomal RNA is filed under the name Triticum aestivum (bread wheat). RNAcentral describes it as "partial small subunit ribosomal RNA". Lineage: Eukaryota; Viridiplantae; Streptophyta; Magnoliopsida; Poales; Poaceae. The record is from RNAcentral.